RNAcentral lists this ribosomal RNA (441 nucleotides) under uncultured bacterium. RNAcentral describes it as "partial 16S ribosomal RNA". It matches the Rfam family "Bacterial small subunit ribosomal RNA", at positions 338 to 795 of the family's 1533-position model. The record is from RNAcentral.
CCUACGGGAGGCAGCAGUGGGGGAUAUUGCACAAUGGGGGGAACCCUGAUGCAGCGACGCCGCGUGGGUGAAGGAGUGCUUCGGCAUGUAAAGCCCUAUCGGCAGGGAAGAAGCAAGACGGUACCUGACUAAGAAGCCCCGGCUUACUACGUGCCAGCAGCCGCGGUAAUACGUAGGGGGCGAGCGUUAUCCGGAUUCACUGGGUGGAAAGGGGGCGUAGACGGCCAUGCCAGCCAGGGGUGAAAGCCCGGGGCCCAACCCCGGGACUGCCCUUGGAACUGCAUGGCUGGAGUGCGGGAGGGGCAGGCGGAAUUCCGGGUGUAGCGGUGAAAUGCGUAGAUAUCAGGAGGAACACCGGCGGCGAAGGCGGCCUGCUGGACCGCGACUGACGUUGAGGCUCGAAAGCGUGGGGAGCGAACAGGAUUAGAUACCCGGGUAGUC